UUCAGAUUAUUCGAGUUUUAUUAGCACAACUCGGUUCGUUUUCCACUUUCUCCCCAUCAUUUCACGACAUUCUCUCUCCUCCAACGAAGCUUCUUCUUCUUCUGAGCUUCUUCUUCUUCUUCUGAGCUUCUUCCUCCAUUGAAACUUCUUCCUCCGAGCUUCUUCCAAGCUUAUUUCGAGCUCCUUACUCCAUUGAAGCUCGUUCUGAGCCCAAUCUUUUUUGUUUCUCCUUCAAUUGCUCAUUUGGAAAACCCUAAAUCAAGUUUUAGAGAGAGAUUGAGUUUGUAAAUGUACCAAUGGAUCGCUAAGGUUAAAGAAGGGUAGCAUUUAUCGGAAAGAUGAGCUUUAGCUUCUCUACAAAUCGGGUUAUGAUUGUUUAGGAUACAUUAAAUAUUUUGAUUCCCAUUUUGCAAACAUUACUGGAGGUGUUGAAAUAAUCAAAAAUUGCGUUUGUCUACACGAGGAAGACCAUGGAAUGCUAUGGAAGCACCAAAACUGGCGAACAGGGUUAGCCGAAGUGAAAAGUUCAAGUAGGCUUACUGUUUCAUUCAUAUGCACAGUGGCCAAUUAAGAGUACGGAUUCUACUAGCACUUUUACCAGGCAAGUUUUUUUUGGCCUAGUUUCUACACUCGGUUUAUUUGGUGAUCAUUUGUUUGACAAGAAAGAUUCAGAAGAUGUGGCAGUACCAAGGUUUGAAUUGUGUGGUUGAUUUAAGUGCAACCAUUAGAACCCUAAAAUUUUUGGUAGGUAAGUAGAAAGAAUAAUGAAGCUAACAGUUUUUUGUACUUCCCAGAUACCUAUCUUUCCUAAAAAGUUUUAUUUCUUGGGGAGUUACCUUCUUAAUUCAAACCAAGGAAACAAUCCGUUGAGUUAAUAGAUGAAAACUGAAACUCGUGUGUGCUUUUUAUGCUUGGACUUAAAAGUAUGGUUGUCUUAUAGGAUGACAAGAUUGAGGCUGAGGUUAGACUUGUUGCGAUUUAUUACCAUAUAAGAAUAAUGUUGCGUGGGACUUUUCUCAUUCCCACUUUUCCCAACUCAUUUUCUUUUGUAUUCUCACUCGGACUUACAACAAGACUUACUAGGAUUCUCACCAUAGGAGCCCUUCUACCUGGUGAAGUCCGAAAAUAUGGUACUACAAUUGCUCCUGGGUUGUAUGCACCAGUACAUUUCAUGUAUAGUUCAGGUACUUCAGAUCAAGUAAUCAAUCAGUAUGGGUCAGUGCGCUUAAGUUUGCUUGGAAGUUGGAAGCAAUCGAGUUUGCUCCUAUAUCUGAUUUCUCCUUGGUUUAAGAUGCCUUUAUUUUUAGUUAUUGCUAUUCAAAUAUCUUACCGGUAGAUCAAGAACUGAUUUCUCCUAUGCCUUUGUUUUUAGUUAUUUCUAUUCAGAUAUCUUACUGGUAGAUCAAGAACUAGAUAACGUUGAAGCUAAUUUUCCCCUUCAAGUGAAUUGUUUCACGAACUGUUGUUUGGAACUCUGAUAGGUGUGUGUUUGGUGCAUAACUACUUUAAACUGCUGGAAGGGACAGAAGCAUCCUCAAUGACGAGAACUUUUUAUUCUUUUUAUUUUCUACCUCCUUGUUAUAAUGUUGUUUCGUCUACCUAAUUGGAGGGGCAAUUGAAGUCUGAUUUGAUUUAUACAAACAUCUUAAAGCUACCAAUUGUGUAAUCACGGAAUUGUGGAAGCAUUUGUGAAGUGUAGACCUUCUAUUUUCAUGCUUCUCUUUUACUACAUGCAAUUGAAUAAUAAAUCUAAGAAAGUAAUAAAUGUGUUUAACUACUUGAUCAA
Spinacia oleracea (spinach) is the source of this 1786-nucleotide long non-coding RNA. RefSeq lists it as uncharacterized. The transcript has 3 exons. The record is from RefSeq and is a predicted model, not a curated record. NCBI's taxonomy places the organism in Eukaryota, Viridiplantae, Streptophyta, Magnoliopsida, Caryophyllales, Amaranthaceae.